CUCCCACCAGAAGUUGAACGGAAUCCUAUGAUUGAAACACAUUAAAGUUCCUACUUCUGAAUUAAAGAAAUAAAUAAACAAAAGAUUCGAGCAAAAAUCGAAAAUUACUGCCUUCACCCAUCUAAGUAUGUUAAAUUAAAAAAUCUUUGGAGCUAUUUUGUGCACAAUCUAUGUGACGUGCGAUAACCAAUCAUUGCCCUUCUCCUCUGUAUAUAUUCUCUUCCAUGAACUCAACGUCUUCACCCUUCCUCCAGUCUUCCCUCUCUGCAACCAUGAUUCUAUCAUCUGGGUUUCCUCCUUCUUCUUCACCUUUCUUUCAAAUGCAUUUCCUUUUUCAUCUAGAUUUUGUCUGCCUUGCAAGUGAUUCUGGGCAAACUCUUUUCCACUGAAUUAAACCAUUUGUUCCUUUAUUUAUUUGGUUUCCUAUAUUCAAGAAAUGGCCAUUCCUUAUCCUCAUUUCAAUUUUAUUGCCUCUGCAUCCAUGGAGACAGGCUUGUCUCCUGUGUUUCCAUCCCCGGUAUUACUGACCCAAGACGAGCUCAAGAAAAUCGCUGCCUAUAAAGCCGUCGAGUACGUCGAAUCCGGCAUGGUUAUCGGUCUUGGCACCGGCUCCACCGACAAACAUGCUGUGGACCGAAUUGGUGAGCUUUUGCGUCAAGGCAAGCUCAAGAACAUUAUAGGCAUACCCACAUAAAACAUGACCCAUGAACAAGCUCUUUCUUUGGGAAUCCCCUUAUCAGACCUUGACUCCUAUCCAAUUAUCGACUUUCAACUGACGGAGCCGAUGAAGUUGAUCCGCAUCUCAAUUUAGUGAAAGGCCGAGGUGGGUCUUUGUUGAGGGAGAAAAUGAUAGAGGGUGCUUGCAAGAAGUUCGUUGUAAUUGUUGAUGAGUCCAAAAUGGUGAAAUAUAUUGGGGGUAGCGGAUUAGCUAUGCCUGUUGAAAUUGUGCCAUUUUGUUGGAAAUUCACUGCCAAGAAGUUGCAAGAGUUGUUUGGGUACGCAGGAUGUGCGGCCAAGCUGAGGACCAAGGGUUCUAACGGCAAGGAGAAUGCUGGGGAGCCUUUUGUUACUGAUAAUGGGUAUUAUAUUGUGGAUUUGUACU
Molecule: unclassified non-coding RNA, 1102 nt
Filed under: Hevea brasiliensis (rubber tree)
Lineage: Eukaryota; Viridiplantae; Streptophyta; Magnoliopsida; Malpighiales; Euphorbiaceae
Source: RNAcentral